UACGUAGGUCGCAAGCGUUGUCCGGAUUUACUGGGCGUAAAGAGCGCGCAGGCGGCUGGUCAAGUCCGAUGUGAAAUCUCCCGGCUCAACUGGGAAACUGCAUCGGAAACUGAUCGGCUUGAAGAUGGGAGAGGGUAGUGGAAUUCCCGGUGUAGUGGUGAAAUGCGUAGAUAUCGGGAGGAACACCAGUGGCGAAGGCGACACGCUGGGCCGUACCUGACGCUAAAACGCGACAGCAUGGGGAGCGAACGGG
This 253-nucleotide ribosomal RNA is filed under the name uncultured bacterium. Its description in RNAcentral is "partial 16S ribosomal RNA". It matches the Rfam family "Bacterial small subunit ribosomal RNA", at positions 524 to 776 of the family's 1533-position model. The record is from RNAcentral.